CUGUGGCACCUGUUCUUGUCGCACAAAAGCAAGCUUCUGGAGAUCUGCAGGUUGAUGUCAGCAAAAGCCUGGGAGCUUUCAGAUGGCACAGCCAUUCUAAAUGCAGCUGAACAGUCUGUGAAGAUCAGCUCAUGUUGUCACUGAUGUCACUGACCAUGAAGUCUUUCUGCUUCUUGUUAUAUCUAAGCACAAGCACUUGGGGAAAAUCCCCUAGGUUUCCCUCUGGACUCUGGAGUAGCCAACAUGACUGAAGUGAUUCCUUAC
Molecule: long non-coding RNA, 264 nt
Filed under: Cyanistes caeruleus (blue tit)
Lineage: Eukaryota; Metazoa; Chordata; Aves; Passeriformes; Paridae
Description: lncRNA (ENSCCEG00000002528.1)
Source: RNAcentral